Molecule: ribosomal RNA, 445 nt
Filed under: Bacillus sp. (in: firmicutes)
Lineage: Bacteria; Bacillati; Bacillota; Bacilli; Caryophanales; Bacillaceae
Description: bacterial SSU rRNA
Rfam family: Bacterial small subunit ribosomal RNA
Source: RNAcentral
GCGUGCCAGUGAUGAUGGAGAGUCUGACGGAGCACGCCGCGUGAGUGAUGAAGGCUUUCGGGUCGUAAAACUCUGUUGUUAGGGAAGAACAAGUGCUAGUUGAAUAAGCUGGCACCUUGACGGUACCUAACCAGAAAGCCACGGCUAACUACGUGCCAGCAGCCGCGGUAAUACGUAGGUGGCAAGCGUUAUCCGGAAUUAUUGGGCGUAAAGCGCGCGCAGGUGGUUUCUUAAGUCUGAUGUGAAAGCCCACGGCUCAACCGUGGAGGGUCAUUGGAAACUGGGAGACUUGAGUGCAGAAGAGGAAAGUGGAAUUCCAUGUGUAGCGGUGAAAUGCGUAGAGAUAUGGAGGAACACCAGUGGCGAAGGCGACUUUCUGGUCUGUAACUGACACUGAGGCGCGAAAGCGUGGGGAGCAAACAGGAUUAGAUACCCCGGUAGUCAA